UUGCAGUUAAAACGCUCGUAGUCGGGUUUCGGGGCGGGUUGGCCGGUCUGCCGAUGGGUAUGCACUGGUUGACGCGUCCUUUUUUUCCGGAGACCAUGCCUCCUCUUAACUGAGUGGGUAUGGGAAACGGAACUUUUACUUUGAAAAAAUCAGAGUGUUUCAAGCAGGCAGCUCGCUCUUGCAUGGAUUAGCAUGGGAUAAUAAAAUAGGACUUUGGUGCUAUUUUGUUGGCUUCGAACACCGAAGUAAUGAUUAACAGGGACAGUCAGGGGCACUCGUAUUCCGCCGAGAGAGGUGAAAUUCUUAGACCAGCGGAAGACGAACAACUGCGAAAGCAUUUGCCAGGGAUGUUUUCACUGAUCAAGAACGAAAGUUAGGGGAUCGAAGAUGAUCAGAUACCGUCGUAGUCUUAACCAUAAACCAUGCCGACUAGGGAUUGGAGGAUGUUCUCUUUUUGACUCCCUCAGCACCUUUCGGGAAACUAAAGUC
RNAcentral lists this ribosomal RNA (489 nucleotides) under uncultured marine eukaryote. Its description in RNAcentral is "SSU rRNA". It matches the Rfam family "Eukaryotic small subunit ribosomal RNA", at positions 613 to 1105 of the family's 1831-position model. The record is from RNAcentral.